This 370-nucleotide ribosomal RNA is filed under the name uncultured organism. RNAcentral describes it as "bacterial SSU rRNA". It matches the Rfam family "Bacterial small subunit ribosomal RNA", at positions 526 to 896 of the family's 1533-position model. The record is from RNAcentral.
CGUAGGGUGCAGGCGUUAAUCGGAAUUACUGGGCGUAAAGCGUGCGCAGGCGGUUUCUUAAGUCAGAUGUGAAAGCCCCGGGCUUAACCUGGGAACUGCGUUUGAAACUGGGAGACUUGAGUGUGGCAGAGGGGGUGGAAUUCCACGUGUAGCAGUGAAAUGCGUAGAUAUGUGGAGGAACACCGAUGGCGAAGGCAGCCCCCUGGGUUAACACUGACGCUCAUGCACGAAAGCGUGGGGAGCAAACAGGAUUAGAUACCCUGGUAGUCCACGCCCUAAACUAUGUCAACUGGUUGUCGGGGGAUUAACUCCCUUGGUAACGAAGCUAACGCGUGAAGUUGACCGCCUGGGGAGUACGGUCGCAAGAUUA